GUGGGGAAUAUUGCACAAUGGGGGAAACCCUGAUGCAGCGACGCCGCGUGAGCGAAGAAGUAUUUCGGUAUGUAAAGCUCUAUCAGCAGGGAAGAUAAUGACGGUACCUGACUAAGAAGCACCGGCUAAAUACGUGCCAGCAGCCGCGGUAAUACGUAUGGUGCAAGCGUUAUCCGGAUUUACUGGGUGUAAAGGGAGCGCAGGCGGUGCGGCAAGUCUGAUGUGAAAGCCCGGGGCUCAACCCCGGUACUGCAUUGGAAACUGUCGUACUAGAGUGUCGGAGGGGUAAGCGGAAUUCCUAGUGUAGCGGUGAAAUGCGUAGAUAUUAGGAGGAACACCAGUGGCGAAGGCGGCUUACUGGACGAUAACUGACGCUGAGGCUCGAAAGCGUGGGGAGCAAACAGGAUUAGAUACCCUUGUAGUCC
This 425-nucleotide ribosomal RNA is filed under the name uncultured bacterium. RNAcentral's name for it is "partial 16S ribosomal RNA". It matches the Rfam family "Bacterial small subunit ribosomal RNA", at positions 354 to 796 of the family's 1533-position model. The record is from RNAcentral.